AGCAGGCUCGCAGGGGAGAAGCCUGAUGUGGGGCUCGAUCCCAGGACUCCUGGAUCACGCCCUGAGCUGAAGGCAGACGCUUAACAACUGAGCCAUCCAGGCACCCCAGUAAAUGCUACUUUAUAAACAUAACCUACAAAGUGAUGUGAACUCAGACAUCGAUCUCAGGCUCUUCCCACAAUGAAACAGAGUGGUGCAUUUUAUAACCAGAGCCAACUCAGACCCCUUUGUUCCCUGCUGAAGCCAGCUCUCUUCCCUCUCAGGCAGAGGACCUGGCAUCCUCUCUGCUGUGCUCCUGCAGAGGUAAGAGUCUGUUUAUGCGUGGAAGAUAGAGGCAGUCUUCAGGCUGAAGCUCAUAGCGGUGCUCAGGCCCAGCAAAUGGCACUUUUAAUUCUCGUUUGCUAGUGUUCCCUAGAUGUCUACUGCCCUUGGGGGAUCUUGGCUGUGGCUGUGGCUUGGGUAAGACUGUUAUCUUUGGAUCACAUAAUGCUGUCAUAAUGCCUUCUUAAGACCAAAAUCUCCUUACCUAUUUUUAACAUGUAGCAUUUUCUAUGGCACUAUUUCUACUUAGGAUGUUAAAGCAAUCAUUUCUGCAUCUUUCCACAGUCUUCACAAGGAUACUUUUUGGUAACUGUAUAAUUCCAUCAAUACACCUACAUUAAAGGUGUAUGCAAAAGAAAAAGAACUAGGGGACAAACACUGGGAAAAGUGGCAUAAAUAUGAGAAAAGAAUAAGAAUUUCAAGAACUGAGUAUAGUCUUGAAUAUUGACAGGAGAAGUAAAGUGAACCACUGCAUCUUCCAAUGAGGUCACUAACAAUUUUAGGAAGAGAAAGUUAAUCUCUGUCCUGGGGGCAGAAGUAGGUAAAGGAAGUGAAGAAAUUAAGGGCACGUGUUCGUUACCUGCCAGGGAUUUCCCAACAGAGGGAAGUCCUUUGCCAAAUCAUAAGGUGGCUUGUGGGAAGGGAAAGAGGGCUUCUUCUAUUUUUUUUUAAAGGUAUUAUUUACUUACUUAACACAGAAAGAGAGACAGAGAGCACAAGCAGGGGAGCAACAGGCAGAGGGAGAAGCAGACUCCCCACUGAGCAAGGGGGCCCAAUGCGGGACUUGAUCCUAGGACCCUGGGAUCAUGACCUGAGCUGAAGGCAGACGCUUAACUGACUGAGCCACCCACACGGCCCAGCUUCUUCUAUUCUUAACAUUUUGGAAAGACUGGGUCAUUGGUUCCUAACUAGUUUACCAAUACAGGCAAGGCCCGCCUUUCCCCACCCCCUCCCCUUUUUCCUGUUGUCCCUCCAGCAGGAGGUAUGGUGGCAGCCCGCUCUCUCCUACUGCCUCCCGUCUUACCAGGAGUUAGUCUUUGGGAGCGUGACCAUACAUCCAGGUUUGCCUGGAGUUAGUCCUAACUUCCUCCUAAGAGCCCAGAGUCCACUCUGGUUUGUUAUACUCUUUCAUUUUCAAAAGGAUCCCAGUCUGGAUGAUAAAUUAUAUAGUCAUGCUGUCCAUGAACAACAGAGCUAGAACAAAAACAUGAGUGCACAAAAGCAAGUAAUAGUCCGCCAGCAAUUUACAUAAUAACUUCCAUUUAUCAAGCAAAUCACUCCGUGACACCACACACAUCAUUUCAAUUAACCCUCACAGCAACCCCACGAGGGAAUUUCGAGAACAUGGAUUUUACAAAUGAAGGAAGUAACGGUUAAAGCGCCUUGACCAAAGUCAUCCAACUAUGAGGAACAGAACAGGAUUCAAACAUCCAUCUGUGUGACCCCAACUUCUGCCCUGAAAGGGGGCCUGGCUGCCUCUUCAGGGAGUGUGGAGAGCCCCCCCCCCAAUUUCUGACUGUGAAGAAACAACUUUACCAAGAAAGGAAUACUCUCAACGCUAAAGGAAUACUCUCAAUCUUCCCUUUUUCAUCUUACAUUUGAAAGGAAAAAUCUGUUUCCGCAGCUGUCUGUGUAAUUCAGCUCUUGUUUCUGUAACCUAAUUUGAAAGAACACUUCCAAAAGAAGCAACCAAAUCUACAAAAGCACAGUUUGACUCGAAUGGAUCCAACCAAUUCGCAAAUGGAAAAUAACACUGAGGAGUAAGUUUUGCAUCACAAGCAUCGAGCUCUGAGUCGUUCCCAAUGACACUGAAGAUUCAAGGAACUCAGAAAAUGGAUGGCUUAAAAUCUUUGCCUGGCUUAAUCUUCUAAACCCAUUGCUCUCCCAGAAAAGAUGACUCAAGUUUUAGCCUUUGCUUUCAUCACCAGAGAGUCUGCAGUUUUCUUUAUUUCCCCUUUUUUAAAAAGUGGGUAUUUUUUUGCAUUUUAAUUUUUAAUUCCAAAAGCCCUCCCUUAAUGCA
Ailuropoda melanoleuca (giant panda) is the source of this 2341-nucleotide long non-coding RNA. RefSeq lists it as uncharacterized. NCBI's taxonomy places the organism in Eukaryota, Metazoa, Chordata, Mammalia, Carnivora, Ursidae. The transcript has 3 exons. The record is from RefSeq and is a predicted model, not a curated record.